RNAcentral lists this small RNA (898 nucleotides) under Cystoderma subvinaceum. RNAcentral's name for it is "eukaryotic LSU rRNA". It matches the Rfam family "Eukaryotic large subunit ribosomal RNA", at positions 75 to 961 of the family's 3401-position model. The record is from RNAcentral. Lineage: Eukaryota; Fungi; Basidiomycota; Agaricomycetes; Agaricales; Squamanitaceae.
UUCCCCUAGUAACUGCGAGUGAGCGGGAAAAGCUCAAAUUUAAAAUCUGGCGGUCUUAGGCUGUCCGAGUUGUAAUCUAGAGAAGUGUUAUCCGCGCUGGACCGUGUACAAGUCUCCUGGAAUGGAGCGUCAUAGAGGGUGAGAAUCCCGUCUUUGACACGGACUACCAGGGCUUUGUGAUGCGCUCUCAAAGAGUCGAGUUGUUUGGGAAUGCAGCUCAAAAUGGGUGGUAAAUUCCAUCUAAAGCUAAAUAUUGGCGAGAGACCGAUAGCGAACAAGUACCGUGAGGGAAAGAUGAAAAGAACUUUGGAAAGAGAGUUAAACAGUACGUGAAAUUGCUGAAAGGGAAACGCUUGAAGUCAGUCGCGUUGGUCAGGGAUCAACCUUGCUUUUGCUGGGUGUACUUUCUGGUUAACGGGUCAACAUCAAUUUUGAUUGUUGGAAAAAGAUCAAGGGAAUGUGGCAUCUUCGGAUGUGUUAUAGCCUUUGGUUGUAUACAACAAUUGGGAUUGAGGAACUCAGCACGCCGAAAGGCCGGGUUUUAACCACGUUCGUGCUUAGGAUGUUGGCAUAAUGGCUUUAAUCGACCCGUCUUGAAACACGGACCAAGGAGUCUAACAUGCCUGCGAGUGUUUGGGUGGAAAACCCGAGCGCGUAAUGAAAGUGAAAGUUGAGAUCCCUGUCGCGGGGAGCAUCGACGCCCGGACCAGAAAUUUAUGGACGGUUCCGCGGUAGAGCAUGUAUGUUGGGACCCGAAAGAUGGUGAACUAUGCCUGAAUAGGGUGAAGCCAGAGGAAACUCUGGUGGAGGCUCGUAGCGAUUCUGACGUGCAAAUCGAUCGUCAAAUUUGGGUAUAGGGGCGAAAGACUAAUCGAACCAUCUAGUAGCUGGUUCCUGC